RNAcentral lists this small nuclear RNA (19 nucleotides) under Arabidopsis thaliana (thale cress). RNAcentral's name for it is "snRNA_19252". The record is from RNAcentral. Lineage: Eukaryota; Viridiplantae; Streptophyta; Magnoliopsida; Brassicales; Brassicaceae.
GCUAGCAAGAAGCCAACCA